Molecule: unclassified non-coding RNA, 203 nt
Filed under: Hevea brasiliensis (rubber tree)
Lineage: Eukaryota; Viridiplantae; Streptophyta; Magnoliopsida; Malpighiales; Euphorbiaceae
Source: RNAcentral
UCUCUUGUGGAUCAAGUCUUGCCCGCAAAUAUGCAUCCAUAACAUCUCCUUUCUUCAAGUUCAUUGCUACCAUUAUCUUUGACGCUUUAAUUCAUCAUCUUCAAUUUAUAUUGGGAAUUGAUGACAUGAUAUUAAAAGAGUGCCCUCUGUGCAAGUGUUGGAAAAAGUUUUUCAUCUAUUGACUAUUCUUCUGGUUUACCAGG